CACGUAGGCGGAUCGUUAAGUCGGGGGUGAAAUCCUGGAGCUCAACUCCAGAACUGCCUUCGAUACUGGCGAUCUUGAGUCCGGAAGAGGUGAGUGGAACUCCUAGUGUAGAGGUGGAAUUCGUAGAUAUUAGGAAGAACACCAGUGGCGAAGGCGGCUCACUGGUCCGGUACUGACGCUGAAGUGCGAAAGCGUGGGGAGCAAACA
Molecule: ribosomal RNA, 207 nt
Filed under: uncultured bacterium
Lineage: Bacteria
Description: partial 16S ribosomal RNA
Rfam family: Bacterial small subunit ribosomal RNA
Source: RNAcentral